Long non-coding RNA from Physella acuta, 765 nucleotides. RefSeq lists it as uncharacterized. The record is from RefSeq and is a predicted model, not a curated record. Lineage: Eukaryota; Metazoa; Mollusca; Gastropoda; Physidae.
UAUUUCUUUAUUUAUUUGAAAAGCAGGGUAAAACAAGACACGCAAUCAUUUUUACUGAUGAGAUAGCUGAUUGUUGACGUGUCAGGUAACAGGGGACGGCCAAGUAGGGUUGACGGCUGUUUCAAAUACGGCCUCUCUGUUGUCGCCACUCGGAAAUAACAAUGGACCACAAAAUGGCGGCGGGGGUGUGCAUCAACGAGGGAGUACUGUUGGAACUGAGGAAGCGAAAACGGACCCGAAACCUGAAGAAAUUCGAAUUAACAAGUUCCCGCCCAGCGCCCGGCCCGAGCGAGUGGGCUGGAACCCGGUCUACUGGAGCGAGUACCCCAAGGAGCCCAUGUGGACAGUGCCAAUGCCCAAGAUGUCCGCGACCAUCUCCUCUGGGAGACUCAAUGACUUGACCAUCCUACCAUGCCACGUCCCGCCCACCGAGUACAUGACCAUCGCCAGCUGUCCGACAUGGGUGCCAGAGAUCCCCCACAGGAUACCUGCAUGGAACCCGUACGUCAGCGAGACCAACACCUGCUUCAGGGACCUUCAGGGUCCGUUAAACCAUUAGAUAACAGUACCAGAUAUCAACAUCUGCAGGGUCCGUUAAACCAUUAGAUAACAGUACCAGAUAUCAACAUCUGCAGGGUCCGUUAAACCAUUAGAUAACAGUACCAGAUAUCAACAUCUGCAGGAUCCGCUAAACCAUUAGAUAACUACCAGAUAUGAACAUAUGCAAGGUCCGUUAAACCGUUAGAUACAGCACCAGAUAUACCA